This 590-nucleotide ribosomal RNA is filed under the name uncultured Rhodanobacter sp. RNAcentral describes it as "bacterial SSU rRNA". It matches the Rfam family "Bacterial small subunit ribosomal RNA", at positions 337 to 918 of the family's 1533-position model. Lineage: Bacteria; Pseudomonadati; Pseudomonadota; Gammaproteobacteria; Lysobacterales; Rhodanobacteraceae. The record is from RNAcentral.
UCCUACGGGAGGCAGCAGUGGGGAAUAUUGCACAAUGGGCGAAAGCCUGAUCCAGCAAUGCCGCGUGUGUGAAGAAGGCCUUCGGGUUGUAAAGCACUUUUAUCAGGAACGAAAUACCACGGGUUAAUAACCUAUGGGGCUGACGGUACCUGAGGAAUAAGCACCGGCUAACUUCGUGCCAGCAGCCGCGGUAAUACGAAGGGUGCAAACGUUAAUCGGAAUUACUGGGCGUAAAGGGUGCGUAGGCGGUUGUUUAAGUCUGUCGUGAAAUCCCCGGGCUCAACCUGGGAAUGGCGAUGGAUACUGGACAGCUAGAGUGUGUCAGAGGAUGGUGGAAUUUCCGGUGUAGCGGUGAAAUGCGUAGAGAUCGGAAGGAACAUCAGUGGCGAAGGCGGCCAUCUGGGACAACACUGACGCUGAAGCACGAAAGCGUGGGGAGCAAACAGGAUUAGAUACCCUGGUAGUCCACGCCCUAAACGAUGCGAACUGGAUGUUGGUCUCAACUCGGAGAUCAGUGUCGAAGCUAACGCGUUAAGUCCGCCGCCUGGGGAGUACGGUCGCAAGACUGAAACUCAAAUGAAUUGACGGGG